Molecule: ribosomal RNA, 492 nt
Filed under: uncultured bacterium
Lineage: Bacteria
Description: partial 16S ribosomal RNA
Rfam family: Bacterial small subunit ribosomal RNA
Source: RNAcentral
AGUGAACGCUGGCGGUAGGCCUAACACAUGCAAGUCGAACGGAAGGACGGUAAGAGCUUGCUCUUGAGGGUGGCGAGGGGCGGGCGGGUGAGGCGUGGAUCGGCAUCUUCUUUUUCGGGGGGGAUAACGGGGGGAAACUUACGAUAAUACCGAAUAUGUUCUACGGGUUGAAGCAAAGGAUCUUCAGAGCUUGCCCGUUUGUAUUAGCCGAUGUCGGAUUAGCUAGUUGGCGGGGUAAAGGCACACCAAGGCGACGAUCCGUAGCUGGUCUGAGAGGAUGAUCAGCCACACUGGAACUGAGACACGGUCCAGACUCCUACGGGAGGCAGCAGUAGGGAAUCUUCGACAAUGGGCGCAAGCCUGACCGAGCCACACCGCGUGGGUGAUGAAGGCCUUCGGAUCGUAAAGCUCUUUUGUUGGGAAAGAAAAGCAGUAGGUGAAAACGUGGCCGUCCUGACGGUACCCAAAGAAUAAGCACCGGCUAACUUCGUG